Molecule: ribosomal RNA, 460 nt
Filed under: uncultured bacterium
Lineage: Bacteria
Description: partial 16S ribosomal RNA
Rfam family: Bacterial small subunit ribosomal RNA
Source: RNAcentral
CCUACGGGAGGCUGCAGUGAGGAAUAUUGGUCAAUGGACGAGAGUCUGAACCAGCCAAGUAGCGUGAAGGAUGACUGCCCUAUGGGUUGUAAACUUCUUUUAUAAAGGAAUAAAACGAGGCACGUGUGCCUUUUUGCAUGUACUUUAUGAAUAAGGAUCGGCUAACUCCGUGCCAGCAGCCGCGGUAAUACGGAGGAUCCGAGCGUUAUCCGGAUGUAUUGGGUUUAAAGGGAGCGUAGAUGGGUUGUUAAGUCAGUUGUGAAAGUUUGCGGCUCAACCGUAAAAUUGCAAUUGAUACUGGCAGUCUUGAGUACAGUUGAGGUAGGCGGAAUUCGUGGUGUAGCGGUGAAAUGCUUAGAUAUCACGAAGAACCCCGAUUGCGAAGGCAGCUUACUAAACUGUGACUGACAUUGAUGCUCGAAAGUGUGGGUAUCAAACAGGAUUAGAUACCCGGGUAGUC